This 483-nucleotide ribosomal RNA is filed under the name uncultured bacterium. RNAcentral's name for it is "bacterial SSU rRNA". It matches the Rfam family "Bacterial small subunit ribosomal RNA", at positions 29 to 507 of the family's 1533-position model. The record is from RNAcentral.
AUUGAACGCUGGCGGCAUGCCUUACACAUGCAAGUCGAACGGUAACGCGGGGCGAACCUGGCGACGAGUGGCGAACGGGUGAGUAAUAUAUCGGAACGUGCCCAGUAGUGGGGGAUAGCCCGGCGAAAGCCGGAUUAAUACCGCAUGAGACCUGAGGGUGAAAGCGGGGGAUCGCAAGACCUCGCGCUAUUGGAGCGGCCGAUAUCAGAUUAGGUAGUUGGUGGGGUAAAGGCCUACCAAGCCGACGAUCUGUAGCUGGUCUGAGAGGACGACCAGCCACACUGGGACUGAGACACGGCCCAGACUCCUACGGGAGGCAGCAGUGGGGAAUUUUGGACAAUGGGCGCAAGCCUGAUCCAGCCAUGCCGCGUGCGGGAAGAAGGCCUUCGGGUUGUAAACCGCUUUUGUCAGGGAAGAAAUCUUCUGGGUUAAUACCUCGGGAGGAUGACGGUACCUGAAGAAUAAGCACCGGCUAACUACGUG